AGGAAUAGCUGUGUCGGGGAGCUGGAGACCGGGGCAGGAGCGGAGGAGCUGCGCUGUGUUUUCUGGUGGAUUGGGAGAAUAUCUGGACUCUGAGCGGCUCGGGUUCGGUUUCUACGAUACGGCUGUCUGAAAUAAAACGUCUCCAACCCUGGAUAGACUCAAUCUUGUAGACUUGAAUGGACAGAGAGACCAAAAGUACGCAGAUUCAGUUAGGCUAAAUCAAACCUUUGGAAGUUACGUAAUGCCUGUAAAGAAGAAGAGAAAGUCCUCUGGUUCAGAAGACUCCAGCAUCAAAAAGUGUAAAAUCACCAGGUAAGCCUGAAGCACUCAGUCUUUUUUUCUCUUCAUUUGUUCAGUAUAUCUAAAGAUUUCAAAAUGCUGAUUUAAAUCCUAUAGUUUCUACAGGUUGUUGUGUUUUUAGGUAGGACUAUGUAUUUCCAAC
RNAcentral lists this long non-coding RNA (442 nucleotides) under Astyanax mexicanus (Mexican tetra). RNAcentral's name for it is "lncRNA (ENSAMXG00005011002.1)". The record is from RNAcentral. Lineage: Eukaryota; Metazoa; Chordata; Actinopteri; Characiformes; Acestrorhamphidae.